UUCAUGCAAAUGGAACCAUAUGCUAUUGGGUCUUCUUUUUCUUAGCAUGGACUUCAGCCCUUUUUGUGACUGAAUAAUACUCAGAGCAGCAAAGCCAAGCAGUCUCCUCCCAGCCAGGUGCUGAGCAUGUCAUCAACUACUCUUUCUAGAGGCUAAGUCUAGACUGCACCAUUCCUGUCCUGGGGACAGCCACCAGCCCAAAGCCCAAGGCUGAAGGACACAUCACGUCACUUGCUCAGGUGACACUGUUCCCAGGAUGGACUGACUUUAGUCUCAAGGAUGACACACAGACCAGACACCAUCCCGGGGCUCAAAUUCCUCUUCUUCUCUUCUUGAGAACACAGCUGUAAAUCACAAUGACAACACCAACAGUAAUCCUCACGACAAGUGUCACAAGCACAUUUUGAGCCAGGAACUGCUCUAGGCUCUUCCCGUCCAGCCAUCCAUCAUCGCCAACCUUACAACAGCCUUGAAGGAAGGGAACUGUCUCUGCUUUCAACAGGGAGGAAAUUGAGACUCACAGGGCUUUCUCUUUCUUGUUACCUGGAAUGCAGACAUGAUGGCUGGAACUUCAGGGACCAUAGCAGACCAUAUGGAGACCUUAGGUAUGGAAGCCACAAACUGAGAAUGCAGAGCAAAAAGUUAAACGCUGGUUUUUCUCAAGACAACGACCUUGGGCGCACCAUACUAACCUCUUUUAUAUCUAAUGGAAAAAUAAAUCCCUAUCUUGUGAGGAAAAAUAAAUCCCUAUCUUGUUAAAGCCUG
Marmota flaviventris (yellow-bellied marmot) is the source of this 765-nucleotide non-coding RNA. NCBI's taxonomy places the organism in Eukaryota, Metazoa, Chordata, Mammalia, Rodentia, Sciuridae. The record is from RefSeq and is a predicted model, not a curated record.